Molecule: ribosomal RNA, 232 nt
Filed under: uncultured bacterium
Lineage: Bacteria
Description: partial 16S ribosomal RNA
Rfam family: Bacterial small subunit ribosomal RNA
Source: RNAcentral
CGGGUGAGUAACGCGCGAGGAACCUGCCUCAAAGAGGGGACAACAGUUGGAAACGACUGCUAAUACCGCAUAAGCCCACAGCUCGGCAUCGAGCAGAGGGAAAAGGAGUGAUCCGCUUUGAGAUGGCCUCGCGUCCGAUUAGCUAGUUGGUGAGGUAACGGCCCACCAAGGCGACGAUCGGUAGCCGGACUGAGAGGUUGAACGGCCACAUUGGGACUGAGACACGGCCCAG